AUCACACCUAACCGCGAAGUCAGCAGCGCAGCUAACGCAGCUAACGCAGCUAACGCAGCUAACGUCAGCUGCUACUUUUAAGACACAUGACGGCCACGAAAGUCUGCACCAAGGGCUCAUUACAUCUGCUGUGCGUCAUGUCUCCGUGUUAGCAGAGAGGCAGCAGCGAGCGCGUCUCUGGAUCUGAUGAAGAGUGUGUGUUGCCUGAACUUUCGGCUCAGCCUCAGCACUGAUGCUUUUAUCCGCUCAUUUAAAGGAAGGAUCAGGACUGUAAAUGCACGAGGGGAGCCUGUGGACAGCCACUGGGACCUGGGACCUUCUGCUUCCCAGGCCAUUGCUCUAUCUACUACCUGUCUACUUUGAUUUGAAAGAGCUGUAACAUUUCUUGCAUGCCCUAUUGUCCUAUUGUUAAAAUGACACCUUGACUUCUUCUUCUUCUUUACUUAAAAGAUAAAGAGCCAGUGUUUUGGGGUUUAUUAGCAGUCUAUGUGUAAUUGGAUAAUUUUGCGAUUUCCUGACUUCCAUUUUAAGCUUGUAGAAAGAACAGAUGCUGCUUACCAAUUCAGUUAUGCAAAGCAGAUUAACUUUGGCACCUUGCAAAUCACCAGGUUUAUUCAUGAGUGAAAAAUUACACAAUUGCUAAACAGGAGCGGCUCUUACUGCUUGUGAUGUUCAAAAAUGAUUCGACUACUUUGAGUUAGUUAUUUUUCAAUCAGCACAUCUGUUCUCCUACAUUUCUUUCACACAGUGCUGACACACCCAAUAAUGCUAUUCUGCUGAUAAAACCUAGGCAAUGUACCAUCCGUUUGUUUUUGAAAAAUCCCUGCUGUAUAGCAUUUACAUACACCAAGUUAAAUCAAGAGAUAACAUGCUUUCAGUCAGUCAAAAAAGCUAAUGUUAAGAUAAUUCUCAGGUGUUUACCACAGUCACCCAGCAGGCACACAACCAACCUUCAGUGUUAAAAUAAGGUUGAAAUAAUGUCAGUUGUCGAUGUGAUGUUGAUGUAAUGUUGAAACAACGUUAAUGCUAAUGGUUGUAAAAAGGUUAACAAAAUACCUAUUAAUCAACUUUGCAAGUUUCAGUUGUUAUCAUGACGUUGAUAAAAACAACAAUACUAACGAUUGUAAAAAGGUUGACAAAAUGCUUAUAAAUCAACAUUGAGAUAUGGUGGAAAUAAUGUCAAACAACAUUUAAUGCUAAUGGUUGUAAAAAGCCAAAAAAAAUAUUUAUAUUAAACUGACCGAUUGUCUUUAACAUAUAUUAUUAGCCAUACUUAUUUACUAUAGAUGUAAAUAAUCAUUUCAAUUAAUAUUUUUUUUUAUAAAGUUUUGGUCAUGCAUUCCAUUUUUAGCUGUUUUAUUGAGUUCUCUUCAUAGAUUGUAUUUGGUUCUCAAAAUGUAUCAAUUGUCACCCAAAUGGUGAUGGGAAGACACCCAGCAACUGUUUUUGAAAGAGCACGGCGACGUAGCAGCUAUUUUUAAAACGUAAGUCAAAAUUAUUUGAACAAAUUAGUAGACUGUUAGUCCAUGGUUAUGUUUGAACGUAAGUGUCCUUAACGGAAUUUUCUUACAUUGGUUCAAAUAUGCAGAAUUUAUGAAAAUGAUCUAAAUUUGUGUUUUGAUUUUUGUUCUUAGAUGCUAUCAUUAAAACUUAUGAUACUACAUCCUCAAAUGUAUGGAAAACAAUUAACAUUUAUGUACCAGAGUGAUUGGGUGGUGGUGGAACAAAGAUAGAACUUUAAGUGUUUCUGUUUCAUGUUGUCUUCCAGCAGCCAGGUGGCGCUGUUUCGUCCAGUGUUUGCCCUGUUUGUUUAUUUGUGGUGUCAUGUGAUUUCCAUGUUUGCUUCUCGUUUGUAAUGGUGAUCAUUUGUUUCACAUGUGGGAAUAGUUUGGUAAGUUAGUUUGAUUAAUGUUUACUUAUUGUCAGUUUUAAUGUCAAUUUUAAUGACAGUGUGAGUUGCAAUAUUGGUGAUGCUAGAUUUAACUGACUUAAAUGGUAUCUUUACAUUUUACACUUUCUACACUUUACACAGAUUUAUUAUGUCUGUAUUUAUUUAAUGUGAGUUGCUCAAUGUUCAAUGCUGGUCCGUAAGAAAACUUCAUGUGUUUUGUCCGAACAUGUUUUAUUGGUACACAAAGGAAAGCAUGUGAAAGAAAGCGGCAGUAUAAACGCUAAAGUUACACAGUGUAUGUUUUGAUUUAUUGUACAUUUCCAUUCCCCCUUAUGUAUGUGUGCAGCCAGUGAGGUUGUGAGUGAUUAUUUUACGUUUGUUUCCUGUCAGUCAUUAAUUUUUGUAUCUAUGUUGUAGUUUGACGGUGGACAUUGGUGGAUUUCGGUGGAUGACAUAACAAACAAAAAGUAGCAACAAGCACGGCUCAACCAGGCGGUCUAUGGUCACCAGAGCGACCACAUCGUCAUGCUACCUGACCAAUCCACCUGCAGCCGCUAACGGAUUGACCCCCUGACGACAUCUCUGUCUCCUCCACCUCUCCAUUGGCUCCGACACCUGCCUCGGACUCCCGGCAGCUCCUCUCCUCUUUGGACUUUUUAGCUCCCUGAUCUGAGCUUCCAUAGAUCCAAUUUCACCUCUGUACUCUAGCAAUAAAUAUUGCCUGUUCUGCAACCAGUCUCUGGGUCUGAGUCUGCUCACUCACAGUUUGGUACACAGCCAUGUUUUAACAGGUUGUGCUGUGCUUUAACUGUUUUGCAUCUUUCAAAAUCAACAGUUAAUUCAACAUGAAUGCAAGGUUGAUAAAAAGCCAUAAAUCAACAUAAAUGCAAGGUUGAUAAAAAAACAUAAAUCAACGUAACAUUGAUGAAUGACCAUAAAUCAGCGUAAAUGUAACGUUGACACUCCAUAACCAAAAUGCAACAUUAAAAAAACG
Long non-coding RNA from Betta splendens (Siamese fighting fish), 2885 nucleotides. RefSeq lists it as uncharacterized. The transcript is spliced from 4 exons. NCBI's taxonomy places the organism in Eukaryota, Metazoa, Chordata, Actinopteri, Anabantiformes, Osphronemidae. The record is from RefSeq and is a predicted model, not a curated record.